RNAcentral lists this ribosomal RNA (215 nucleotides) under uncultured bacterium. RNAcentral's name for it is "partial 16S ribosomal RNA". It matches the Rfam family "Bacterial small subunit ribosomal RNA", at positions 157 to 353 of the family's 1533-position model. The record is from RNAcentral.
CGACUGCUAAUACCGAAUAAGUUCCAAGAGCCGCAUGGCCCAUGGAAGAAAAGGUGGCCUCUACCUGUAAGCUAUCGCCUGAAGAGGGGUUUGCGUCUGAUUAGCUGGUUGGAGGGGUAACGGCCCACCAAGGCGACGAUCAGUAGCCGGUCUGAGAGGAUGAACGGCCACACUGGAACUGAGACACGGUCCAGACUCCUACGGGAGGCAGCAUG